This 533-nucleotide ribosomal RNA is filed under the name uncultured delta proteobacterium. RNAcentral describes it as "bacterial SSU rRNA". It matches the Rfam family "Bacterial small subunit ribosomal RNA", at positions 1 to 523 of the family's 1533-position model. Lineage: Bacteria; Deltaproteobacteria. The record is from RNAcentral.
GACUAGAGUUUGAUCCUGGCUCAGAGCGAACGUUAGCGGCGCGCUUAACACAUGCAAGUCGCACGAGAAAGGGCUUCGGCCCCGGUACAGUGGCGCACGGGUGAGUUAACACGUGGGUGACCUUCCCUCGAGUGGUGGAUAACCUGCCGAAAGGCGGCUAAUACAGCGUACGAUCCGCGGUCGCACGCGGAUGAAAGCAGGCCUCUGCAUGCACGCCUGCGCUCGAGGAUGGGCCGCGUCCCAUCAGCUAGUUGGCGAGGUAACGGCUCACCAAGGCGACGACGGGUAGCUGGUCUGAGAGGAUGGCCAGCCACACUGGAACUGAGACACGGUCCAGACUCCUACGGGAGGCAGCAGUGGGAAUCUUGCGCAAUGGACGAAAGUCUGACGCAGCGACGCCGCGUGGGCGACGAAGGCCUUCGGGUUGUAAAGCCCUGUGGGGCGGGACGAACACCGUCGGGUCGAACAGGCCCGGUGGCUGACGGUACCGCCUUAGCAAGCACCGGCUAACUCUGUGCCAGCAGCCGCGGUAA